UGUCAUGUCAACAAGUAGUGUUUUUAAGGAUCACAUAAUUCUCGGCGAGAAAAGGGGUGUCACAUAAAUGUAGUUUACUGUCUCAGUAACCAGUAAGCAGGUCAAACUGAAAAAACAAUAUGCCUAAAAUAACACAGAGACUUUUCAAAGAUAUUUUCUGUUGCUGACAAGUGGGUUCUUCUACAAUCCAUGAACCAAAAAGAAUUUCUGAACAUUUAGAAUGUUACCAAAAUUAUUAACUUACUACUGAAAUUUAAAGUUUAGAAUUCUUCUUAGUUUAUGAAUAUGUUAGGCGUUUUACUUGCAUAUCGCUUCAAUGCUUGUGAUUGUCUUGUUUUCAAUGAUACAGAAGAACACAUUAAUAUAUUUUUUUUCAUAACUACCAUAAUAUCAUCAGACAAUAAGCUAAUUCUCGUUGAAUUAAUUAAAAUAUGUCAUGGUAUCAUCUCAGAAACUGCAGGUCAUAGACACAACCAACAUACAAGAACAUUAAUUACACUUCUUGCACUCAGAAAAUACAAGGCAGGCAAACGGUACACAUCAAUCCAAGGCCCCAAAGUCAAAUGACUCACUAAAAUGCAGAAGGUCCCCACAAGAUUUUAAUUGCAUCUGGUGGCACACAUGGUUCCCACAUGAGUGCACCAUACAUGCUAAAAUCUUGUAGAACAUGCUUGCAAUUAUUUCAUCCUUAAAAAGAGGGACACAGAUUUGAAUCUUUGAAUAUCCUCCUGAAUCUUUUACAUGCAGCACUUGUCUCUUAUGAUCUCCAAAAAAACGUAGAAGUCUAACAAAGACACGCAAGUGCAUAAUAAAACAAAAUAAAAUGGAACUUGUGAAAUGCAACUACUACUACUGAAUAUCAAAGAAUUAGUGCAUGCUGUAGUAUUUGGUGUUAAAGACAUUGUAUUUCUAUACUAAAAUACAUAAGCAGCAAUUGACAUCUUAUUGAAAGAGUGAAUUGCCACCCCAAUAUAUCAAGACAGUGUUGGUCUGUUGGACAUGUAAUCUUUUGCAUGUGAGAAUAUUGCACAAAAUCAUAGCAGCAAUUACUUGUUCAAAAGAUAAUAUUGCAUUAUGUAUUUAUUUCAUAUGGUUAUCACCAGUUGCCACAGCAUUUUGGAUCUUAAAUAGAUUUUGGAGGGACAAAAGGGAGAAAGAAAAAUAAAUCGGUGGAAGGAUUUGGCUAGUUAACCUUCCUUAAGAUUCUAACCAUUAAUUCUUAGCGUAUAAACAGUUCCUAAAUUGGAUGGCCUUAUUUCUUUUCAUGCCAGUAGUUUUUCUAGGUUGAGAAGACAACAUUUCAGGGCUUUAGAGAAACAAGUUAAUGUAGCGCUGCAGGGUAAAGUGUAUGAGUGCACAUGCUGGAAUAUAUAGAGUGAAAAGCACCAUACAUGCAAUCUCUCGCAUUUUUACAAAACAGUAAGUAACGGAUUUAUCUGUUUGAAUGUUUCUCCUAAACCAACCUAUUAACAUCAGUAGCACUGUAGCAGUAUGUUUAAAAAAGAAAAGAGAAAAGGAAACAUCAGUGGAUAGUUGUAGAUUGUCAGAGGAAAUCAUGGAACCAACCAUUGUGUAAUUCUUUCUAUCAGUGCUCAGACACAGAUGGCAGAAGAAACAUGCUAGUUUACCUCAAUGUAGCCAAGCUGUUCGGGAUCAAGUUCCUCCAUGAUCAAGGCCGCAUAUUCCUCUGCUUGCUCCUUGAGUCUUGACAGUUUAUUAGCAGAAGCACUUAACAUAAUAAUCUGGAAAAGAAAAAAGCCAAACCCCACUAUUAAUUUAUUGAUCACAAACCAUCCUCACAUAUCGAGCAAGAAAAGAUAAAAAAAAACAACCUGUCUCGGCCCUUUACACAAUGACCUCAGCGAAAUGAAUAAAUUAAGCUCUAAUCCAAAAGUUGCCUCUUUCCACGCAUCAUUUGAACAGAUUAUAAUAAUUACGCAGCAUGACAGAAAUGCCCCCACCAACUAUACUGUAUUAAUCUUCAAACUUCCAUCUCCAUCCAUAGUAGGAGUAAAUUUACAACACACCCCUCCCAUGUUCUAGAACAAGGUACCUCAAUGUAUAGAAAAAACUAGUGUGUGCAGACAGCCAGUGCGGGUGCUUUCCGGCCAGUUCGGCCAAGGGGGCCUCCAUUAGUCAGGAAUUCUUUUUUCCAAGCUACGCGUUCCAUAAUUCUUAUGCGUAAAUUCAGGAACAUAAACUUGCAGACAACAAAAAACAAGUACACACACCUACAGAGCUGGGGAAAUGGACAGCACAAUCAUCCAAAUACUCCAUAAACCAAAAUAUCCCAGGAAAACAGUUCGAAAAAAUAUAUCCCCAAAAGACAGGAAAAUAUGGAGUAAUACAGGAAGUAAAAAAAAAAAAAGCAACCUCAGCAUUGGACUAUUAUUACCUCUUUCACCUCAGCCUCCGUAAUAUGGCCAUCUGCGUUCUUAUCCACCCUGAAUAAAUCGCAUACCAAAACGGAGUCACAUUAACGGAACAAAUCAAUAAUCAGUCCACAAAUUGGUACGGCACGGUAGUUACAUAUCGAAGAAGAUCUGGAGGCGCGAGUCGAAGCUGUUGUCGGUGAUCUGCUGCCAGAUCUCGCGCAGUUCUUCCUUGUUGAUCUUGUCCACCUGCAUCUGCCGCCGCCGGCUCAAGGUGUCGAACAGCUCCAUGGCGAACUCCUUCGACUCCGUCAUCCCUGCAUCUCAAAUGCAGCUGGGGAAAGUAAGGAGACUGGAAUGUUUGGGAAGGGGAUGGGGGCGAUUGGGGAAGAGAUUGACCUAUGCAUUGCGGGAAAUCGUCGCGGGAGAGGUAGCCGUCGCGGGCGAGGCGGUCGAAGUUGGCCUGGACUUCGAUCCACGCGUUGCUGGCCUUGUUGGGGCCGCUGAUGAAGCGGAGGCCGCGGAUCGCCCGCUGCGCGCCGGACUUGGUGCGGUCGAGCUGCGCGCGCUGCCGGCGCUCCGCGCGGGCCGCGAGGGCGGACUCGAUGCCCGGCGGGGCGGUGGUGGUGCUCUGGGUGCGCGUGAAGCGCUUGGUGAGGUCCUGCGAGAACUGGCGCGCGCGGGCCAUGGCCUCGGCCUUGAGCUCCUGCGAGAACUGCAGCAGCCGGUGCGACGACGUCCGCCGCAUCGCCGGCGACCUCGACCGCGACGCCACCCCGCCAGGCGGCUCCGCCCGCCUCGGCGGCGCCACCGCUGACGGCGACGCACCCGACGACGACGCCACGGCCGCUCCCCCCGCCGCCGGCUCGACGCUCCUCAGCACAAUGGUGUCGUCCUCCUGCAGGUCGAGCGUCACCUCGACCAGCUCCUCCCCGUCGUCGGAGCUCCGGUCCGACCCGCGCGGCGACGACCCCGUGCUCAGCGACCGCGGCGUCGUCACACCAGACCCCCAUCGCGGCCGCACCGGCGUAGUGCCGCCGCCGCUGCCGCUGCCGAUUCCCGCCCUCAUCACUCCCCCUCCUCCCCUCCUCGCACGCACGCAAUGCGCCGCUCCCUUGGCUGGCUGGCUGGCUGGCUGCAGCUAGCCCACCACCAAACUAGUUUGACGAUUCGGGAGGAAGAUUAGAUAUACUCCUAGCUCACAGAACAGUCCAAGCGAACGCGACCUAAUGCAACGCGGUUGCAGUAGGAGUAGUAGUAGCUUGCAGCCACCACCACCACUCUCCCGUUCUCUCUCUCUCCUGCGGAGAAAAGCACAGCCUCGUGUCGCGGAAAGCGAGUCCAAGCCGGGGCCGCGCCGCGGAGAAAAGCGGAGACAAGCACAGCAAUAUAUCGGGAGCAAGCCAGCCGCCCCCGAGAAAACAUAACUCCGCGCCUCCACGUUAAAGCCGUGAGCUCACUCACUUGAAGCUAGUACACGAGGUGGAUUCACGUUUCACAUGGUGAGCCGUCGCGUUUGGUGGUGGUGUGACGAUGAGAGGCUCGAGCCCGAACCACGGCGCGAGAGCGAAAUUGACCCGCAACCACCGCGCGCGAUCGCCGGCUUGUGGCUUGUGGGUUGUGGCCACGGGAGCAAAUCCAACAGGUGAUCGUAUAUUAUCUGGCACGACCUUGCGCGCCCGGAGUGUCCGUCCCCUCGCGUGGGCUCGUGGGCAUGCGUGCGCCAACCCAUGCACUCCACCGCGCGCCAGCAUCCGUGUGCACCGCAUGCCGCGCGUUCGCGUCGGCCUCUCGAUCGUCCGGUAGCACGGCGCGCCGUGGCGUGCCGUGCCGCGCAUCGCGCGUGCGUGCGUGGCUGCGCGUAACGGGCGCGGGCGUGUCGGCCGUCGGGGUGGGCGUGACCUAACGUGGGCUGCGCGUAACGUGGCUAGGCGAGCGAGACGACUGAGAUCGGUGCGCGCGGCUCGGCCGGCCAGUGCCGCACCUGGCAAGGCAAGAGCUACUACACACCAGUACACAGCCAUGAUGAGCCGCGAGCAUGUGCGUGGCGGGGAGCGCCGUCCGGUGGCUGCCCACCCAGUGCGAUAUCACAUCGGAUCACCGGGUCGUCGGGGCAGGCAGGGCGACACCCAUUGAUUGCCUCGUCGAAACAUUCAUUCCUGCCUACGAGUAGUUUCCUCUCCAGCUCCUCGUGGUGAACAGCAUCAUUUCAGUUAGCUCCAGUGGAGCGCUUGGCCUGAAGCUGCCGCUGCUGGUGCCCGGUGAGUGAGCGAGCACUGAACAGAAAACCGCAGCUUCCUUCGUUAAAAAAUGAGUGGUAGUAAUAAAUUUCGUCCACGAUUUUCACGUAAUUCUACAGCUCUACCGGGAAAUUUCUAAUCUGCUAGCUGACAAGUUCUACCAACUACCAAAGGGUUAUUGUUCUUUUGUGCGGAAAAAAAUUGGUGAUCGGAUUAAACGAGAAUAAAAUUGGUGAUACGUAGUGCUUCUCUAGAUUUACUGAGGCGACGAAAACAAGGAUGAAACGAGGAAAUUUGUAUAUUGAUUACGGAUAUGAGUUGUUAGCAUCUAAUGAUUUGCCUAUGUGCUGAUCAGAUAUUCAACUAACAUUCUAUGAUGAGCCAGCUCAUGGACACAAAACAAAUAUAUACGUGCAUCGAAUAAAUAUCAUGUUCUCAAAAAAAUAAAUAUCAUGUUGGUACGCAAAGAGAUGAACAAUUCUACAGGAUACUUAAAGAAAAACUGGAAAAACAGUGGUGAACUUAGCAAGGUUGGUCAAUGGAUCCCCUACGUCAAUGACUUUGUCUUAGCAAGCUAGUAAGCACCAUCAUUGUAGGUUUAUAACUAACCAAGGGAGCUUAGUGGAAGGAUAGUCGAUAGCUUACUCACGUCUCUUUGCAUAUGCUUUGCUCUUAAUCAAUAGAUUCCAGCUGAUAUGAUGAUAUAGAAAUAGGCCAUCCAGCAUGCACAAGAAUGAAUGGAGAACAGAAUAAAUAAAGGGUCCUAGCUGACAAUGCUAUCGCAUCCAUGUUCUACCUCUGACUUUCCAUCAGGGAGGCCUUGGAUAUAGUCAUAUGGUAUUACCUAUCAGAGUUGCUUAACAAUUUCUUCAUUACUUCGUUGCAGGAUUUAACCUAGAGUAACAUUUAAAAGUACGACAGAUUGCUAACUAUAGAUACCAAAACAAAGGAGAAAAUAGGCUCGAAAUUUUUUGGUCUCUGUAUUUUAAUUUUGUUUCAUGGGAUCGGAGAAAAAGUGGUAUUUUAGAUUACCUAGAUGCUGCAACGAGAUUAUUGGUGCUAUUAGCAAAUUCAACACGUACUAUUUCUUAAGUAACUGUCGGUCAGUUUGGAUACGGAUGCAGGUAUAGCGGAUUCGUCUGAACUCAAGAUGUAAAUGCAACAUAUAUGAACAUAUUACCAGCAACCUGCAACAGAGCAAGUUUAAUAGUAUAGCCUACUACUAGUUUCAAUUCAUCUAUAGCCAAUUCAUACAAUAGUUGCUUAAUAUACUAUUAAUAUAUGGUCCCACCUGUCAUAUGUCUAGGAGUCCGCGCUGCAGCUGGCUACAGAUCUGUAGCCCACUACUCUUAUCUCUCAUCUUUUAUCUUAUUAAAUAUGCUUAUAGCUCACUAAUAGUCUGCUCUAAGAGUUUUAUCUCAGGCUGUUACUGAGCAUUGGCUUCUGCUACUUGUUACUACUAGCUAUCAGGUAUUAUGCCGACCUAUAUGUCCCUUUUUUUCCCAUAUGCUGAAAUCGACUGCCAAUUCAAUGCGAUUUGUUGAGCUAAGCUCUGGACAGGCUGUGGGUGACUGAAUUUCUCGCCUCUAGCCCAAAGGCCUACGCGUACAGUAAUGAUCCAAGAAAGGAUCAAACACGGCGGGGAGAAAACGACGGGUUGCCUAUUGCCCGGAAGAGAUCUCUUUCAAUCCUUUUUUAGAUUGUCAUCGUCUUACCUAACAGCAGGUUAAUCUCAUGAGUUCCUCAGAUGAUGCAGAAAGUAACGGUAAUACAACGUGGUGGAUUGUGACCCCUCGUACAAACUGGUAAAAGUUUUAAUACACAGAACUGGGAUAAUUUGCUAACAUGUUUGGAAAAAUAUUCAGAAACCAUUCCAUCUAAAAGCAAAGAUCAACCUAUAGUUUUGUGUGUUGGGUUAAGUUGUCUGGGUCUUCCGAAAGCAGGGACAAGACUACAAGAGACAUUAGAAAUGUUCGAAAAAGAAGAGGCAUUAGAAGAUGGGUAACUUGUCAGUUUGAGAAUGACAUAACAGAUUUAACAGAACAGUUGAUUGAAGAAAACAAUUUUACAGAACAUGGUAGGUUGGUACCUGGCAGCAGUACUAGGAAAUGCCACGAUUACGCAGGCACAUCAUAUAGCAACAUGCAUGCAGUGGUUGUCGAUGAAGCACCUGUUUUUCUAAAGAAAUAUGAUUAGAUGAUGCAAUCCACUCACCAAAUUUGAGAUGUUAAGGUUACAUGACUUCAGCUGGAGGAAAGUACGAAGAAAGAGUAGGCUGAGUUCGGAUGGGGGAGAUGGGAACCCAACUUCUGCGUACGGAAAACGGAGCAGUCCAUUAACGCGUGAUUAAUUAAGUAUUAGCUAUUUUUUUAAAAAAAGGGAUUAAUUUGAUUUUUUUAAGUAACUUUUGUAUAGAAACUUUUUACAAAAAAAUGCACCGUUUAGCAGUUUGAAAAGCGUGCACGCGGAAAACGAGGGGAAGGGGAUGGGAAAAGGUGCAUGCGAACACAGCCUAAAGAGAACAUAUCAGUUUCCCAUGUGAUUAGAAAAUAAGUGGCCACCUGGCUGCCUCCCAAGCUUAUUAUGCAGAAAGUACAAAAACAAUGAUAAUCAUCCAUUCUGUUAUAUUUAUCAAGGUAAACAGAGCACAUUAUCCAAAAAAAACCAACAAUAACAGGUAAGAAGAACACAUGUAACUAGGUGUUUCUCUUCCACAGCUUUCCAAACAGAAUUACAUAGUAUUACAAAUGCAAUAUCUGCCAUUGAGUUUCCUGUACGGCUGCAGGCUGAAGGCAACAAUACCAGUUUCAUUCAGACGUGAUUGUAACAAGACUUGGGGAGGUUUGUUUUAAAGAAUACUCGCUAGCCCCUCCUUCUUAACAGGCCUAUUUCCAGGGAAUGCAGUGCGAGAGACGUCGACAAGAGCUUUGAAGCUGUAUGGCUCAUGCAUCGACAGCUCUGAAAGUACCUUCCUGUUGAGUUGGAUAUUCUCCUUCAUCAAUCCAUGCAUGAAAUUGCCAUAGUUCACCUGGGGUAGUCAGUUAAAACAGUAUAUUAGACAUAGGGCCUGCAGUGCGUGACCUUGAAAUCCAAAAGUUAUACUUUUGAUAGAUUAUUCGGCCUAUACUCAAGGAUAAAAGAGCGAUGGAUAAAAAAAAUGAUGUCCUUGAGACGUGAGACACUGAGACUUCAAGCAUUACUGGAUACGCAGUUACAUACCCCAUGGAUUCGUGUACCAGCAUUGAUGCGCUCAAUCCAAAGAGACCGCAUGUCCCUCUUCUUGUUGCGCCGAUCCCUGUAUGAGUAUUGCAAUGCUUUCUCCACCCUCUCCCUAGCAAUCCUUAUGCAGUUUUUUGCCCUUCCCCUGAAUCCUUUUGCUAACUUAAAAAUUUUACCCUUGUUCAUCUUCGAGUUCCUGGACUGUUGCACAAUCUUCUUUUCAGGGAACUGAAACAUCAAAAUUGAAAAAUGAACAAACAUUAGAAUUUAGUAUGAAUUAAUCAUAUAGGCAUUCGGACUACACAUACAUCUGGCUGACAUUUAUCCCCAACUAGGUAUGCAUAGAAAUGAACCAUGCCAGAAGCCCAGGAGACUAUUUUCCUAAAUAGCUUGUUAUACAACACCUUGCAAAAUUACUUAAUCUAAAAUUCUAAAACGCUGCUUAUUAUUCAGAAGAUUAGUUCCCUUGGUUCUGCUCUAUUGGUUUUACACAAAACCCAGUAACAGCACAAAGUAAAAAAUCAUCCCACCCACAUCAGCAUGUGGUAGUUCACGCCUCUAAUAUAUACUCCGUAUGAUUUAGGAACCAUGACAAACAAUGUGCCAUCACGAACAGAUCUGAUUAAAACAUGUACAGGCGCACUUGGUUAUCAGUUAUCACAGAUCUCACACGAACAGGGUUUUACCCCAAAAUAAAUCCAAUGCACUGCUAACCAUCAAACGACGAGGUAAAAUCUUUGGCCAGUUCAACCGGCAUAAUCUCACAGAACCAAGGCACUACUCCAGUGACAAUUUCUGCAUUACUCCAGUAAACAUUUUCUGCAGCAACAUCAGAAAGCUCCUUCGAUCCAAACCCACACCUAAGACUCUGACGAGCUCCAAUCGCUGAAAACUGGUCCAAUUCGACCAUAAAUUCCCCAACUGCCAGUUAAUCCCCCACCACCCAAAGGUCGUCGUCCGUGCCUAAAAGCCUAAAACCCUACCUCUGCGGCUUCCGCACAGAGAGGAGAAGCACCGAAAGCUCUUCCAGCCAGUACGCAGUAGAGCGAGGGAAGCGGAAGAGGCUUACCUGCUUCCUGGCCGGCGAUAUCCCGCCCGCGGUGGCAGCCGAUCUCCGCCGCGCGAGCGCUCGCUGGGACGGGUUGGUGAGAGGGCGGCGCGGAGGGAGGCGGCUCGGCCGGCGGCGAGAUGGUUAUGCGGAGCUUAAGUGGGCCUUAGCUGGUCCGUCCUUCUUCCGUAGCCCCUCAGCUGAGUAAUUCAUGGGCCAAAUCUAGUGCCUUUUAUUAUUGCAUGGGCCAUAAGGCGGCUAGAUGUUUGGGUUUGGGCCUCCCCUGUCGAGAAUUUUUUCUGUGGAGACGGAUUGAGGUGUUUUAAGUUUGCCUCGUGGGUGGUUUAGGUUAGGUUGUUCACUUUGUUUCCCAAAUCACAUUUUGGUAAUGUUAAAUUUUGAUCUAUUUUGGUAGUACUAAAUUUCGUAGUGUUGAUUUUGUUUGCUUCGAUGUCUUUGCCAAAUUUUGGUAGAGUUUUAAGAGAGAAAGCUUCUAUAGAACUGCUAAAAUUUUGUAAGGUAGUAAUGGUUAAAUGUGUUUAAUUAGUUUGUUGUCUUAUUUAAAUUUGGUGAUGUCAAAAUUUAGUAAGGUUGAAAGUGGAAACAAACUGAAUAAGGCUUAAGUUUUCUUCAUGUCCCUCAUCUUAUGGUCGAAUUUCAAUCACAGUAAUUCCUCAACCGCAAAGCCGAAUAUAACGCAUCCCUCAUCUCCUAAUACCAGUGGAAAUGCCAUCUCAAGGUUGUAUUCAACCCGGUUUUUAGUUGACGUGGUGCUUAUGUAACACUCUAAUAGAAAAAUUAUGAUGGACCUCAUGUAUCAAUGUAAAUUUCUUUAGGACAUUGUAAAUUCAUUGGGAUUUAUAGAAAACAAUGAUUAUUAAAUACAUAUAAAUAAAAACAUGAAAGAUUCGUAUACAUAUAUAUUUGCUCGAACAAAUUACAAGGUGCUAGCUGAAGCACAUAUAAAGUACAUUUUCUGUAAGCUUUGUGAACAUCAGGAGACAUGAACGUGUAAAUAUCUAAGUGAUUUAUAUAUUAACACUAUCACUUGACCGUGUGUACAUGUAUGUAUGAGUAAGCAGUAGUAGCAGUGUAAGCACUAUAUGAUGGGAGGUAGGACAACCCUUUUUUCCUUCUCUUUCCCAUCCGAGUACGUAUAAUUAAUUUGGCUGUAUAGAUCGACUUAGCUUGUCAAGUUAUAUAUGCAGUUUUGUGCACGAUUAGAGCUUGAUUAGAAGUGGAUUACACGGUUGAUUAAUUAAUUAAUUUAUUACAGCUGCGAGAGGAGCUGGAGCUGCCUGAGAAUGGGACUGAGCGCUUCCAUGAGCUUCUCGCACGGGUGGUUGUGGACGCCCUCGUACGUGGUCACCACGAUGCCCCUGUCCUUGGCAAGGCGUUGCACCUGCUUCUUCACGUUGCAAGUGUGGUGCGUGCACCGGUAGUAGCUCCUGUGAUAUGUCUCGUCAGUACUUGGCAUAAUGACAUCCACGUAUAUGAGUGAACAGAGUUAAUUAAUCAUGUUGUACACUUGUACGUACAUGAGUGUAGCUAGCUGAUUAUUGUUGAACGAUUUGCAAUGGAUGCACGAAGUGCCAUGGAACACGUAUAUGCCUAUCUAUUGUUGACUAAUGGUGCACCCCUAUCCCUUUAAUUUAAGAUCUUUAUACUCUGUUUUUUUAUUUAACAUGAACUAUAGAGGAAGUAUGUUAGUAUAUGUUAAUAAGUUACAAUGAUAGGCCAAAUAUGACACUAUUAUAAUAGGAAAAAAUACGAAUUACCCUCGCCCCUCCGAACUAUUGCAGUAGUACGAUUUACCUCCUAAACUACAAUACCAGACAUUUGACACCCCAAACUCUCAAAAUCGAAUAAAUUACCACCCUAACUAGAUUCGAAGCGGUUUUCAGCCUACGUGGCACACACGUGGCGAUACAGUCAGCAAAAACAAAUAAAAAACGGUGGGGCCCACCUGUCAACACUUUUUUUCUCUCCUUCUCUGCCUCCCCCCUCUCUUUCUCUCUCUCUCUCUCUGUGAACAGAGGAGGCGGCGGCAGGCGAAGAGCCGAGGACGGUGGCCGGAGGGGGGGUAGGACGAUGGGCAGGGAGCCGAGGACGACGGCCGGAGGGGGCAGAGGCAGCUGCGAAAGGCAACGGCGACGGCGGCGGGACAUGGAGCGAGACGGCGGUGGGAUCCUCCUUCCUCCUUCCCCCUCCUCGUCUCGCGCCGCUGCCCACCGCCCGCCUGCCGCCGACUGUUCGUUCGUCCCGGCUUCCCCUCGGUAGCAUGGGCGCAAAUGGCAAAGACGCGGUGGCGAUGGUGGCGGCGGGGGAGAGGCCCAUGGGGGUGGCGAGGGUCGUCACGGUGGCGAGGCUCCCCCGGACGAUGGUGGCGCUCACGCUGUGGCUGCGCGGCAUCCGGGGGGGAGAGAGAGAGAGAGCGACCGGGGAGAGAGAGAGGUAUGACAGGUGGGCCUAGGAAGGGUUUUUUCUGAUUGGAUUGCUACAUUGGCGCCAUGUGUGCAAGCUCAAGUCAAAACCGUACAAAACAGUAUCGAGGGGGGUAAUUCGUCCGAUAUUAAAAGUUUAGGGUGAGCAAUGUCUGGUUUUCGGGUUCAAGGGGUAAUUCGGUCGACUGUGAUAGUUCAGGGGAGGGAGGUAAUUCGUACUUUUUCCAAUAUAAUAUAGGCUAGCGAUGUACCCUUCCAAUCAAUAAUGUCAGUGGGCCUGUUCAGCAAGCUGGCUGCGACAACUGCAACUGCACCGUGUGCGUGCGACACUGUUGGUGUCGGCUGCGCUGCAGCUGCAGAACAGGCCCAGUACUCCCAAUAUAUGCUCUCUCGAUCUGUUGUGCACUCAUGGCACCAUUGCCUCGCCGUCCUAGCGUAGCUUCCUCUAUAUCCUACUAGGAGUUCCCCUCUCCUUCCCUUUCUCCUAAACACCAUCCUACCUUUUACCCUUACUUAACUAACAUGCUGUAGAGAAGACAAGAGCUUGUAUGAAUUGGAGAGCAUGAUGAACUGAUGCAUGAAUUUUCAAGCGGGAUAUAUAUCUGAAGAUUAAAAAGGCAUUAUAUUUACACCCCCCAAAAAAAAAGUUCAUUCAAACGUUAUUUAUCAUCUCCAUUUCUUUCCAAAUAUUCAAAACUUUAGGAUAAUUUACAUCUAUACUUCUUUAAAAAAUAGUACUGGUGGUGGUGAGUGGUGAAUCUUUCACUACCCCACCACCAACUCCUUACCCUUUUGGAGUAAAGAACAUGUGGUGCCAAAAGUCCCACAUGUCAACCGCCCCACCACCCUAUCUAUUUUUUUAGGAAAGAAAUAUGAUAUUGUGAAGCUGUAUGACCCAUAUAUUAGUCAUAAAUAUAUGUAAAAUUUAAGAAAUGAUGUAUAAAAAAAUAAUGAUAAUAGUGGCUAGGUUAAUGAUCAUUUCAUCAAUUAAAAUAUCGUUGCAGCACACAGGCAAUAUUAUAGUUCCUCAAGAAUUUGUGUAGUAACUGUUUUUGGCCCUAAUUAAGCCUCUCAUCACAUAACCCCCUCCACCCUUCCGGCCUUCCCCAAUAUUGCAUGGUUACCUUGCCAGCUUGCCUACAUCGAUCGGCAGGGCUUCCCUCUCUCCUAUCCCUCUCUCCUAUAGCUGCUGCUCGCUGCCUCCCGUGCGAUCAAGCCAUGCAUCCUCACCAUGUUUUGCCUCGCCCUUCGAUGGCUCACACACUAUUGAAUCCUCUAAACUCACCAAUCAACUCCCUCAAACGUACUAUAUAUUGACAUUAUCCAUUAGCCUCAUUCUCUUGCACAGCCAAGGAUGUGCCCAUUGUUGCCUUCGCCAUCAAGGCUUUCAUUGUGAAUCCGCUUGCCCUAUCCCAAAACUAGCCACCCCAAUCUCAAUAAGCUAAUCCAGCUGGUAAAUUUUCGAAGUCAUUAAAUAUUGAUCAUCUGUAAUUCUUCUCUAUAUCUCUCCAUAUCUUUCAUACAUAGGCUAGAGUCCAUGACACAUGUCUGUAUUUUCAUUGGAUCCGUAAUAUAUAUAGGUGACAGAUUUUCUCAAAUAUAUUAUUUUAUUUUACUAGCCAAAUACUCAUACACUACGGAUUAAAACAAAAUAAUAUUAAAGGUUUUUGGGACAAUUUCAUCCCUGUAGAUCUUAUAUUGUACAGAUGAAAAAUAUGAUAGAUGGAUUAUUCUAUAACAUUAAAAUACAUGAAUAGUUGGUAGAAAACAUGAUGAAGUAGGCGUGGAAUAAAAAAAAUAAAUGAGGUGGUGGUGGUGAUGGCAGAUUCACUGCCACCAGCAUUGCCCUCUUUUAAAAGGAGUAUAGAUUUGUUUUCAUUUUAUAAACUGCAUUAGUUUUAUGGAACUAUUUAUUUUUAGGCACUUGAAAAAUAUGAACAAAUUUCGACCAGUUUUUGACGGCCUAAAUUGAGCCAAAAGAUUUGUGCGCUACACUAACCUUAUCAUAUUCCCAUUUCCUACUAUUCCACAACUCACUCACUAAUGUGAGUCAUGUACGGGCAAAUGGUGUACAUCGAAGAUCACGCCUCCUUAUUGAGCGCCAUUGUCUCCCCUACGUUAAAGUACCGCCCCUAACGUUGAUGACACCGAAAUGUGCCAACAACACCUGUAAGCUAGGACAAGCAAACGGGCCUCCUCUCCGUUCCCUCCCCUCCCAUCUCCUCCUCUGGUACUCCCCAAACGAGGCAGUGGCGAGGUGCACUAGCGCCACCAUCUUCCCCACCCUCGCUGCCAACCGUACCCACUAGGCCACUACCCUUCUCCAACUCCGUGGCUCUGGAACGUCUCGCCAACUGUCUUUCUUCACCACUCACAAGUAACAAUCAUCACUAUAAAGGGAAACACCCCUCCACCUCCCCUCCAAUUUCGACCCCACUGCAAACCAUAAUCUGUAGGAAAUUUUUAUCGUCCAGCACCCCCCCCCCCCCGAGGUACCAAAUCUAGGCCGUUCGUUCGGUGAGAUCUAACGGAUAUGAUUGCACAGUAGCUUGCGGUACCAUUUUUAUCCCUGGCACGGUACCGCUUCGCCAGGUGCGGUGGAAGGGUAGCGAGGUCUUUUCACAUCAUUCUGUAUCGAUCUGAAGGUAACCCUAACAAAUCCCUCGGUUGCGGCAACACCGGCGCAUACGCCGGCAGAUGCUGUCGAGGCUAGGCAAGACUGAAACGGCGGCAGUUUGCUUCCGGCGAUGUAUGGUGGUUGCUCCGGCGAUUCAGACCACGGCGCGACAGCCUUCCCCCUCUGGGAUGGAAAGCUUCGCUUCACUCAAGUCGGCCAAGACGGCAGAACGAAUGAUUUGGGGCGCGAUUUUUUGGCGGCUAGGGUUUCGGAUUUGGGGUCGAGGUUUCUUCGGCGGCGCUAGCUCUCGAGUCCGAAAAGAAGAGGGCGGCGCUCUUGCGGGAGAGAAAAUCACGCUACGGGAUAGAUGAGGAGGACAAACAACGCUUCUUUCCCUUUUCCAAUCCUACCCACGCGAAAUCAACGGCCGGAUGGGUUUUGGUACCGCGUGGUACAAGUACCGAGCGGCAGGGUUCACAAUUCGACGAAAACUAGUUGAAUUCUACAAAAUUUCGACGUUUCGAUACGGCUCGGAAUUAAGUUUCGAUUGGAAUUUCGAAGGUUAAACAAUAGAUUUGGUCGAAAUUUAUCGAAAACCGAUCGAAAUUUAUCGAAAACCGUGAUAUCGAUGGGGUUCGAAAUUUAGUGGUCAACCGGUAAUGUAAACCCUGCCGAGGGGUAUAAAACGCAGGUUCUCUGUUGCAGUUUGGGUGUUGUCGACGUCAGAGAAGAGAAGGAGCUCGUCGUCGCUAUAAUUGAAGAGAAGAUGGCCCGUCGUCGUAAUCUUCACCGGAAGGUUGCCCCUCCUCCCUCUUUUGCGCUCCUAAAUCCAGUGCCAGGUUAAGGUAACUAAAAUUCAUAGCAAUUCCUUUGUUCUAGCCUUCUAGGUAUAGUAGCCCCAUUAAUUAAUGCAUUUUCAACGUCAAUAUUGUCCAUACGUACGUGUAGAUGCACAAGCCAUGAAUGGAUUCAUGCAAUAUAUAUCAUGCAUGAGUAGCCUGUAGGCCCUGUACACGUUAGCCGCUAGCUAGAAAUUAAGAACGCAAUGUAUAUAUAAUAUACCUGGGGAAGUCGCUGUUCUUGACGGCCUUCUGCCCGUACUUCCUCCACCGGUAGCCGUCGUCGAGGAUGUCGUUCUCGCUCCUCGUGUGGAACGCGAACCUCGGCGUCCUCCCGCCGCCGCCCGCCUUCUUCCCGUUGCCCCUCCCACGCCGCGUGGUCGUCGCCGCCGCCGCCGCCGCCUCCGUAACGCCACUGCUCGUGACGGUGCUGCUCCCUCCGCAGCUGCUUUCCGCCGCCGCCGCCGCCAUCACUCCUCCGCCAAGAUCAUCCUCGCCCACGCCCGCCGCCGCCGACCCCCCAUCUGGGAGGAUCAGCGACGCCGCCCAGUCGUCCCCCGCAGGGCUAAGCGCCGCCAUCGACGACGACGCGAGGUAGGCGGCCGGCAGCUGAGGAAUCAGCAGGCGCCCGUGCUGCUGAUCGCCCGCCGCCGCCUCUAGUCCGUCCAUUGUUAGCGCCGGCCGGCGAGGUUAACGUCGUCGUCGAUCAGUGGACGGACGGACGGACAGGUGCACGGCGGCGGCGCGCGGUGAGUAUAUAUAGGCGUACGUGUGCAGGUGCAGCUGCGAGGGUUAGCUGCGACUGGAAGUGGAAGGUGAAGGGCGGUGUGAGCGGGGAAGGUGGGGGUGGGCAAGCGUGCAAGCUGCCUUCACCUCUCCCGCGUCUCAAACUGUGUACACCAAGCUGAGAGAAGAGUGAGCAGCCAUAGACCGAUCAACCACCUCAACUACUGCCGAUCUACUGAUCUCUCUCUCUCUCUCUCUCUCUCUCUCUCUCUCUCUCCCCAUAAGCGUGUGCAGAUUAAGGCGUCGUCAACGGCACGAGACCGCAAUUAAAAGAUUGUUUACGAAAACUACUACGUUUUGCAUUACGUGUCCACAUGCACACGCACGCACGCACUGGUUAAACUAAAUCGUGGUGUAAUUUGUAAUUAACGUGUAGGGUUCAGGCAGGUUUGUUCGCCGAACGAGGGAGAGAUAUCAAACCGUCGUAAUCGUUGUAGUAUAGUUUUUGUUCACGUAGUGUUGGUUUUAUAUGUGUCAUGCGUGGUCAAUUGCGUCCGUUUGAUCCUGUCGAGUACUUAACAAGAAAAAAAAAGAAAAUAUAUAUUUUCAUUAAUAUUUUGCAUUUAUAUACCUGCAUGAAAAAUAUUUGCAUAAAUAUACCUCUACUGUAUAACAGGGACGCAGAAUUAAGGUGGUGCCGCUCUUCCAUACCGUGGGACUAGUGGUUGCGCAGGACGGCCGUGCGGCACCGCUUUGGUCCUGCGGCAUGGAAGUGCGGCGCCAUGACCCGGGUGUGCGGCAACGUGAUGGAGGGCAGGAACACGUGGGGCAGUGUCGGUGCCGCACAACGGCUACACAGGAACGCGUCAAUGGCGUGCAACGGUGACGUCGGGCCGCCUCGGUGAUGCGCAACGGCGACGCAGGACUGCCUCGGGACCGUUUCGGCCCGCGCGCCACCACUCUGUCGCUCCCCGGGCUGCGGGAGCAAGGCGGUGCCACAUGCUCGUCCUGCGCACCCACCGGUCCUGCGGCAUGGAAGAGCGACACUGAGGCGGUCCCGUGUCUCCGUUAUGUGGUAGAGGUAUAUUUGAGCAAUUUUUUUCUAUGCAGGUAUAUAAACACAGAAUACUAUUAAAAAGAGUAUACUUUCAUUUUUUUCCUUUACAAAAUGUGUUUUGUCGUAUAUUUUUGUACGGCUAAUGGGCUUUCAACUAUCGCUCAGGCUGGGCCUUUUGUUUGGGCCUGGCCCAAUACUCUUUUGGAGUAAAGAGAAGCACUGGCGAACGCGCGCACACAUCACCACAGCACACCGUUUUUAAAACAAACUAGGAAUUGGAAAAGAAAAUAAGUCAGAAAGGAGAAGAAAAUUCAUGGAUUGCUUGAAGGGAUAGUAACAGUUGAAACGUCAAAGAUUAGCGUCUUAAUUUUACUGCACCACAAACGGAAAUAUCCGUUACGUUUGCUAAAUUUUGCUCUCUUUGGCUGGAAAUAUUGGACGACGUGUGCAUGGCUGCAUGCUCAUGUACGUCCUCCGUUUCAUAUUAUAAAACUUUCUAGCAUUACCCAUAUUUAUCUAUAUGUUAAUGAAUCUAGAUAUAUAUGUGUGUCUAGAUUUAUUAAUAUCUAUGUAAAUAUAGGCAAUGCUAAAAAGUAUUAAAACCUAAAACGGAGGCAGUACAUAAACAAUUGUGCAUGUCCUGAAGUACUACUCCUGUGUUUUAAAAAAAAAUUUCUAGAGAUGUAUUUGGACAACGUACAUGUCAAAGAUAUACAUCCUCAUGAUUAGAUUUUUUUUUUAAAACGGAGAGAGAACACGUCACUCUUAUUUUAGAAAGAUAUAAUGACCUCUCCCAUUUCAUUAACGAAAUGACAACUUGCAGUUUCUGGGGUUCCUAGAACACCCAUUCCUCCCACAAAAGAGCCUGUAGAUGACAGGUACUAGUACUACAUGACAUCGAAUUAGCAGAGGAACAUCCCAAUUAAUGGGUGUCAAGUCGCAGAUCUCUUUCAGAAAUUAAGAGGGUGCAGACACGCAUAUGUUUAGUUGUUGUCAGUAUUCGCGACAUAUGCGUGGCUCCGCCUGGUAUUGAUUAGAUUGAAUUUCGUUUGAUGCUAACUGAUUUCAGAUGUUUUAGUUUCUGGCUAGUAUAGUUGUUUUUCUCAUAAUCUAUGUAUAAACAUAUUGCCGAAUAUUUUAAUUUGAUUAGUAAAACAACCAGCAAGUGAAACGUAUGUAUCUCAGCAAUCAAACAUAAGCGUAUAGUUGGUGCCAGUCUUAACCAAAAUGUCAACUCCGCAUAUCCAAUAGCCACAUGCUGUCAAUUUUUAAAUCUCACAUCGAUGUUUGUUAAGAGGUGGUGAGGCUAGCCGGUAAGACCCUAGGUCUUUCUCCGUGCUGUCAGUUUUGGAGAUUUGGUUACUGUGCAGUGCAGUGCAGUUGCUACUGUAACUGCAAGUGGCACCACCUCAUGAAUCAAAGCAAAAUGGCAAGACCAACUGUAAUACUAUUGUAGCAGCUGAUUUGAACUGUUAAUUAGAUCAGAAAAUAAACAAGCACAAUAGCAACUGCAUUGGAUAUUUGGAUCUCUGUUACAGUUUUUGCCUCUCAGCUCCCCAUCAGCGAUGUCUCCCUCUCCUGUUCAUGAUGCCCUUUCCCUUUCCUGCUUUUCCAAGGAGAGGGGUCGCAAGCCAUCAUCACGCAAGCCAAAACAAGAGUAGAUUCAUUACCAAGGCCAGGCCAAACAGAGCAAAGUUCUCUAACAUGUGGAACCUGAAAAUCGUCGCUUCCGCGAAUUGCAUGAUGUUUACACCCGGCCUUGGCUGUUUCUGCCAAAUCGGUUGGCCAAUCAAAAACAAAACAGCUCCAAAAACGGCAGGACGGUACACACACUCGCCAUCCAUGGAGCAUCUACAACAGAGCUAAGGAGAAGGUUUGGCUGGACGACUCCUCCCUUUGGACGACUUCCAUUGCAUAUGAAUGUCAUGAGCAAUCCUUCUCGCAUCGGCAGCCGUUCCCAUCAGGCCACGACGGGAGAAUCCCACGGAGUAUAGACCCCUCUCGCCCUUCCACCCGUUUGGAAACGCUUUCCUUGGCAACCCAUCUUUUUCUGAAAACAGCCCUUGGUCCUGCUCAAAGUGAGCCAAAUGGCGCCAAAAAAGAGGCCAAAGAGUCAGGAGGUACACAAAUUUCAUUUGUAUGAACUUGUUUCAAAUUGGCUGUAGGUUGUCUUGAGUGACUGAAUAUUAAACAAAACACUGGAUACGAGAGGAGGAGCCCUCAUAUCGGAAUUUAUUAAGAAAAGUGAGGCUCGAACCUAGGUUGGCAAGCCCACCACCUUAUGGUGCUAGCCGCCUAGCCUGAAGACCGCUCAACCUUUCUAGGUGACUCAAUAUUGGUGAACACGUUUUUCAGGAAAAGAAAUACUGAAAUUCUUCUACAGCAAAAGGAACAUCAGCUGUAUUGCCAUAUACCUUUAACCAGCAGGGAACGUUGCUUUUGUAGCCGGUGGCAAGUACAAUGGCGUCAAACUGCUCUGAACGACCAUCCACAAAUUUUACUUGCUGCCCUGCAAUUCUUCUUAUGGCAGGUCGGACCUUCACAAGAAAAAAUCAUCCAGAAAAUAAAUCAACCCAUGAUUGUAAGAGGCUAUGAAUGUUCAUGAAUAUUUUUGGAAAAAUAGUGAAAAUAAACCUUUAUAUCUCCAGACUUGAUCUUUGCAAGAGUGCCAAUGUCAAGGAUGGGUGUCUUUCCUGACAGUGAUUUCAGCUCAAGUGGCCCAAGACUAGGCCUUUUCAACCCAAAUUGUGAUGUAUCACCAAGAAUCGCUCGUGCAACAAGCAGUAAAAUCCGGUCUACGAUAUGGAUCGGCAACCAUUUGAGCAGCCACAUUGCAAGCCGGAAGGUCGGCUGACCUAGCAUCUCCCUGGGCAAGAUGUGCACCUGCAAACCCAUGAUCCAAAAUUUCUUAAGGCACGCUAACGAGGUUAAAGCUUUUGUUUUUUUUUGGCUUGGUGAUUGGAACAAAUGUUAAUCAGAACUAAUUUUACAGUGAGUAAUAUGCCUGUGAAAGUAUGGGUUUCAUCCUUAUUUCCUCGUACCCAACACAGUAUACUAUAUCUAACAAUAUAAGCUGAUUUAGCAAUUUGUAACCAAACCCAUGCCAUUUCAAAAUUUUAGAGCCAUCAGAAAGGACUGCCUUUGUCAAGAAAACUAGGUUCUCAAUCUAUUGUACUAGUGUUUCGUAACGAUGUGUUCUCAUUGCAGUGACAAGGUGCCAUGCACCACUUAGUGCUUUCAUUUUUUUUGAAAAAAAAACUCUAAAUAAAAAAUUAGACUUUACAACCAAGUUUUUUUAAAAAAAACUAAAACAGACAGUAAAACUGCUAAUUAUAUUUCAACAAGUGGAAAUAAAAACCCUAGGUGGGUUGCAAGAAAAGAAUACAGAACCACCGGCUGGCUGAACAACCACACAACACUCGCCAUAACUUAGAACAACCUCACUAACAAUUGAAACCACUGACGGAGCCCGACAUAGGGCAUCGUUACUAAGCUUGACACAUAAACAACAUAGGAGGUUCGACUUUGGGCAGAAAACAUUUUAAGAGAGAAGUAAUCAAUAGACCAAAAUAAUUUGGAUGAAUGCCAUGAAUUGCUCAAAUAUUAAAGAUGCACAAACACCAUGGAAGUAUAGGGCAAGUGUUGCUCCUGGUGCACUUUCUAACAAACACAGGCAUUAGGUCAAAGAACUAACUAAAGGAAACCAACAAGUAAACAUCCCACAUACUAUAAUCUACAUGUGAGUUUUAUUGGGCAAAGAAUGAAUAUAAAGUAUAAACAACUAUAUAUUACACAGAAUGGCAUAAACUAUAAAACAAGUAUAAAACUAACAGGCAUAGAGGAAAAAUCACAUACUGCAUCUCUUACUACAAUACGAGGGUAACCAUUGUGGUUGCACAGGUCUAGGCACACCUCCAUGCCAGAGUUGCCACACCCUACAACAAGGACAGUCUUCCCAGCGAACUUAGAACCGCUCUUGUAUGCGCUAGUGUGGAUGACACUUCCUCGAAACUCUUCCAAGCCAUCGAUCACUGGCAGCACGGCCUCUGAAUUCUCUCCGGUUGCAACAACCAGCCACUGCGACACAUACUCAACAUCAUCUUCCAUCAUGCCAGUGGCCUGUGUAGUCCUCACCCGCCAUAGCAUCAGUCGCUCGUCAAAUUCUGCGCACACCACUGUAUGGUUGUACAUAGGAUUGAUACCAAACUUUGCAGCAUAGCUCUCCAGGUAAGCCACAAACUGCUGCUUUGUGGGGUAAUCAGGGUAGCUGGCAGGGAAAGGAAAGAGAGGAAGUUCACAGAACUGACGAGGUAGAUGAAGGCUGAGGCGGUCAUACAUCUUGAGCUGCCAUAGAGGAGCUAAGCAGCUCGAGCGCUCAAGAACAAGGCUGUCGAUUCCCUUCUCCUUCAGGCAUGCAGCAGCAGCGAGUCCAGAUGGCCCUGCGCCAACAACUAUUGGCCCUUGAACCCAAACAAGCUGGUGGGAACAACACAUAGCAGCAGGAGGUAUGCAUGCAACUCUCCUCUUGUGGCGGUUUUUGAUGGAUCAAUGGUGCUUUUGGUUGUAGAAGGUGUCAACUGUCAAGGAAAUAGGAUCACAAGUUCACUUGCACUCAUUUUCCUCCCCAGAAAUUCAUGAGAAUGGCUUAGCUUUGAUAUGCUUGAUGAUGGUGUUCUCUUGAUCUAACUAAGAAUACAUGAUUGUGUUGGGUACUUGGGUCAAGCACACAUGGUGGAAUAAUGAACUAGCAAAGCUACAUCUGAUUUCGAAGGGUAGCAGGGGAGAUAAAUACUCUCAAGAAGAAUUGGCACAAACGUUGUCCAGUUGAAGAUACCAUGUUGGGAGGGCAUGUACUGUAUGUACAGUGGUGUAGUCGAUUAUUCCCCUUUUGGGGUGGCUAAUUAAUGUCUCUAUCUUAUAUGCAAAUACCAAAGUAAAUAGGAUGUGUGUUAUUACCUCAUGCAUUCAAGUGUUUGCUCAAAGGCACUGUUCAUGGUAAUCACAAAUAAAUCCUUAACAAGAUAGGUCGGAUACAUUUAUAUUGUGUGUGCAUGUGCAAGAAACUGACUUGCAGAUGCAGAGAUGUUCAGGGAACAUAUGUCUGAAGCGUAUUUGAUGGACAAUCUUCAAGAAUUUAGACAUUCAGGGGACAUAUGUUGACAUUGUACAUAAUAUUUGUACUGUUAAUAGGGAAAAGUUACACAAGAUUGUAUACAAAACUCCAUGGGAAGAUGUACCUUUUCCUUUGUAGCCAGUCGAUCUCAAGAAGGGUACUCCUGGAGUUUUGGCAUGUAACUCCUGGUUUUCCUUGCUUUAAUAACAGAAGUCAUUUAAUGGGUAAACCAAGCAAGUCAGUAGGAACAUGCAUGCAUAUAACAGCUAAAGCAGGCGUAAUUUGUUAUCUCAAUAUAUUUUUCCACCUAAUGUAAAGCACGCUUAUUAAGUAUUACUCAUGAUACAAUACAUGAUACUACUAUCUCGUAGUAGUCUACAAUCUGGAAUGUGUUUUCACCUUGCUAAAGUAAUUAUGUUGGAGAGUUUGUGUUCUAUGAGGCAUCAACACUAGCCUAUAGUAAUAAAGCUAUCAUUUCGAGAACAGUAGGGAAGUUCACAACUGAAGUAAAUUUAUUAAUACAUUAAUAACAGUAGAGUCCUCCAGACCCAAGUGUCUAAGAGAAGCACACUGUCUAAGAGAAAAAGGAUUUUCAUUAACCAAGCAUGAAGAAAUUAGCAUUUGACCCCAAGUGAAACAGGGACAACGAAACAUCAGUAAUGAAGAAUUCACUCAUUCAGAGCUGAUAGGCAAAGUAAUUGCAUAUCAACAUUUUGGAGUAGUUAAGACUGCAGAAAAUAUUCAUGCAUGAAUAAUAAUGGAGCAAAUCCUAACAAGACAAUAUGUAUAUUAAAAAAAAAUAUUAAACCAAAAUAUUUUGCUUCUUUUGGAAGGCUAUUGGAACUGCACGUCGAACCCACCAUUAUCACCCAUAGCUGACAGACAUCAUCUAUAGAUUUGUGGCCCAUAUCUUAUGAAUGACCUUGUAGAGCAACUUGUCACACCCCAAUCUGAUACCGCCGUACAACGGCACCUGACAGGAGUGUGUCGUAGGGAAAACGGUGCGAACCGCUUCCUACGAAACCGCGAUCUCGGUACCAGUCCCAGGACAUAGUGCUGGUACCCACGGUGACAAAUAUGAAUCAUAGCAAUCUUUAAAAUAAAUAGAGGACUUAUUUACCUUAACUUAGGCUGCAGCUCAGACAGCCCGAGAAUACAACCGACGACACGGACGAGGCGAACACCAACAACAGCAGCAGCAGAACCAACGGUCUAAUACCCAACACCACAGGCGACGGCUGGGAACCAGGACGAAACCCUAAUCUUCACUUCACUUUAUCUUCUCUUCAGGGCGGAGGAACUAUAUAUAUAUAUAUAUUUAUAUAGAGCAAUGGUGAGUACUUUCGUACUCAGCAAGUCACGGGAACUUAGGUGUUUAAUGCAAGCUUGGAAGAGAGGCAAGGUUGUUUUGCAAAUCUUUUAUUUGAAGACAUUUUGAAAUCACUAAGUGAUUUAUUUCUUUCUAAGUUUGGGCCGAAAAGAGACUUGCGUCUCGAUUCGACUUUAAGAGAUGUUUUUCAACAGCUCAUUUGGUAAUGUACCGACCUCCUGGUUCAGAUCAUUACUUCUCGGCUCCCAGAGCCAUUCCACUUGAUUAAUCGGCUCCCAGAGCCUUUUUCAUUUUCUCGGACUCCCAGAGUCCAGCUGCCCAGCAGCACAACAACCCGCUUCCACUCGGGAAGCCUAGUCUAUGAUGCCCGCAGACAUCCCGAAUCACACAGAUUCGUUUCUGACCACUCAGGUCGUCCAUCUGCCACAUAGGCUGAUUCUGGUUACGAUUCCCACACCACAACAACUUUUCACAAAGCACAGGCAAACAAAUCUACGCAACGGGAACCACCUCACAUCCGCCCAUGACUGUGGGCACGGCUGUUCGAACUUUACCCACCUCUGCAGAGGGGUACACUUUACCCACAAGACACGAACUUACUCCAGACACUGGCCGGUGUCAGAGGUUCGCGACAAAGCCUUUCCCAAGCCGACCCAGGGUUACCUCAUGCCACAUAGAAGGAUCAAAUCCUCAUGUAAGUAUAGGCCAUUUUAGGCAUUCACAAAUCAAGUCCAACCACCUUGAUCGGUAAGUGAGCAAGCUUCUCGUCCUUGCCUUACCAGGAACCCGGUUUGUCCGACCCCGCCCCGGCGUUCCCAACUAUUGGCAUGCGAGGUUUCCCUGAACCGACUAGUUACUUAGCCAGGGUGUCUCAUUCCACCUUGUGGUUGCACUUUGAUUAUGUUCGAUGAGUUUCCCACAGGAAUCGGUCCUUAUAUGCGAAUACGGGACAGUGCCACAUAGGCACAACCCCCGCAUCGCGAGUUUUCACAAUUCAUUUUAUUUUCAAACACACCGACACCACAUGUCGGGUUUUGAAGGCUUCACAAACCCAUUUCCCAAGUUUUCGACAAACAACGGUGUAUGUGGGAUAUUUGGUAUACGCGCUCAGAGAGCACGAAUACCGAGGUACCACAAGGGUGGAGCGACAAGGAAUCAGGGUAGUACGACCUACAGAAAUUAGUGCGACUACUGGGUAGGUCCGUCGGUUUGGCACGCAAACCGAGGCCAAGCAAGUUAAGUGUGUGAUUCUAAUAAUGCAAGUUGCAAACAAAAUAAUAAUGACUUUUCAAUUAUAGGAGCAAUUGAUCAAAGGGUGACUUGCCUUGCUCAAGGUCUUCACGAAGCUUCACGAAUCUUCGAGAAAACCCGCGAUCGACGAAAAUCCGAUAACCGCAACUAUACGCAAACAAUCGAAAACCUAAACAAAGGACCAAAAGAAAGAUCCUAUUUAGACUAAUUAGUAGUGCCAUUAAAUAGAUCUCAAUUUUACGGAAUUACUGGAAGUGGAACGGAGGCGAUCGGAGCUACGGAUCGAGGGAUAUGAAUUUUGGAGGUCUAAAUGGAUUUUCUGGACAAGGAAAUGUUUUGUCGGAAUUUAUGGAAAUAAUAUUCUCAAGAAUAUUAUUGACAGUCACUGACCAAGGAAAAUGAUUCAUGGAAUUUUGGAAUAAGGAAUUGAUUUCUGAAAGAGGGAAAAAUGAUUUAUUGAAUUUAUAGAAAAGAGAAAUAUUUGUGGAAUAUUGGAAAAGACAUUCUCAAGAAUAUCUUUGACUCAUUGACAAGUGGGGUCAACAAGAAGGUGAGAGAGAAUAAAAUUGAGAGGGAGCAAAUUUGGACUUUUAGCUCAUGAGAGAUGGACACUGACUUGGACGGAGGGAGGAAUAUGGACUUUUAGGCCGAGCGUGAGGCGCGGCCCAAUGGGUAGAAGGAGGCUCGGCCGAGCCAUUGGGCCGGCGCGGGCGCAAGGAGGCGGCCCAUUAGGGGCGCGCGGAAGGGAAAGGGGGCAGUCCGGGUGGACCGAACCCACCAUGCGAGGUCCCGGGUGGGGCCCGCAUGUCGGCGACACGGUUCACGGAGGGAUGGGAGCACGCGGGCGGCGUUUAGGGUUUCGGGUGGAUGCGGCUCACGAUUGGUGCGCCGGGUGGACCGAGGCGCGACGGGCCCACGUGCAGCCGCAUGGCGCACCGUGGUCCGUGCGCACGGAGGGGGCUAGCCAGGCUGGCCGGUUUGACUCGGUCUAGCCGAGUUGGCACCGACGUGGCGCCUACGUGGCAGCCACGCAGGCCGGCGAGAGGAGGAAGACGAGACCGACCGGGAGAUGGACGGCAGGCGGCGGCGCGCGUCGGCGGAGCGGCCGCGAGGCGAGGCGGGAGGAAGGGAGACCACCGGAGGGAGGGAAAAGGAGACGCAGACUCCAUUCCUCGGCUCGGAUGUGGCCGGAACUGGACGGAGGCGGCGGAUUUCGACGGCUGCCACCGGCGGCGAGCAAAAGGGGGAAAACACGCCGGGAGAGAAUGGGGUCAAUUCGUGGUGGCGGGAGCAUCUCUAGGACUCUGGGAACUUGUUCUCGGGGUCGGAUGGGGCGGAGAGACUCUGAGAGAGGCCGGCGACAGCGAGGCGCGGUGCGGGGAAGGGCGGAACGCCGCCGGGGAGGGAGAGGGGUCCAGCGAUCAAAGCGGCGGUUCGGGAGUGUUCUACGGUGAUCCAGGAGGGUGGCAACGAGGAGGAUUAGGUGAAGAGCUCACCGAUGGCGAUGAACGGCGUCGAUGGCGAGCAAACGGGAAGCCGGCGAAGGAAAACGGCCGGGCUUCGGGGAGGGCGGCGCCAGGUCUGGAGGAUGGUGUUCACGGCGGGCAGCACCGCGUUGGCCGAGCGGCGACGCAAGGCGGCGAGGAAGGGAACACCAGCGACGGAGGAGGCCGCGGCGUUGGGCGAGCGUUCUUGGCCUGAGAAACGGUGCGAUGGUGGAGAGGCUAGGAGCCGAACGAGGGAGGGGAGUGCGGGUUUUAUAGGCGCGGGGUGAGGCGAUGUCGGUUUGGGAGGGGAGAACCGACCUUGGCGGUCAAGCGCUCGGCUGGCGGCAGCGGCGGUUUCAUGGGCGAUGCGAAAGUGGCGACGGCGUGGAUGCUUUGGGCGGCGAAGGCGGUGGAUCAGACGGCCGAAUUUCGGGUCGUGAGCGCGGGCUGGCGGUCGCGCCCGUGGUCCAGGCGGUGGCAGGCGGUGACGCCGAUGGUGGUUGGGAAAGGGAAAAAGAAGGGGAAAAAGAGAGGCUCGCUCCAAGCCGAUUCGGGAAGGGAGUAGGAGGGAGAGGGAGAGCUCGGCCUCCGGGUUUUGGCAAGAAAAGCGUGGAGCGGCUCGAGCACGCGCGCGGGGCCGUGCGGCUGCGCGGUGCAGCGCGGCAGGGCAGCGAGGCUGGUGCGGCGGCGACCCACGCGCGAGCGCGUGCGCGCGGACGCGAGGGCGCGGCAGGGCUGACGGCGGCAACGACCGGCCGGUCGGCCACGCGCGAGCGCGGGAAAGAGCGAAGGCGGUGGCGGGUUUUGGGCGGCGACGGCGGGAAGCGGCGAUGGCGGCAGCGCUGGCGUGGGAGAGAGAGAAAGGAAGCAGAGAGAGAGAGCGAGGAAAGAGAGAGGAAGAAGAGAGGCGAUGCCUCUCUCUCUCGGCGCGUGCAGCGCACAUGGAGGUGGAGGGAGCUGAGUAGAAAUGGGCCGAGCAAGGGAGAAACGGCCCACAACCAAGAAGGACGCAAUUUAGACUUUUUCCAAGAGAACUGAUUUGGUGGGGGGGUUUCAAUUGGAGAGAAUUUGAGAAGGAUUUUUGGAAUUUAACCUUGAUACUUUGACUUUAGGAACAUAAGGUGAAGUCAAGGGAAGGAUUCGAGGCGAGAUUUGAAUAAUUCUGGAUUCGUAGAAGUAUUUGGCGAGGAUUCAAAGGAAGGAUUUGAAUUUCAGAAUUUGAUUUCAGAGACUUGAAUCGGAAAAGGAAUUUUUCGAGGUGGAGGAUUUCGAUUUCGAUGAGAGGGAACAACGGGAUUAAAUUGAGAUCCUUGGCACAACUUAGACUCUCACACAAAGAACGAAAAUUUUCGCAAUUAGGAUUUUGCCGAAUUAGUUUUUAACGACUCACGAAAAGCGGAGCGUUACACAACUGUUGUACCUAGUUGUUCAAAGGUCCCCUCGAAACAAGGAUGCCAAGAAAUGGCUUUGUGGCUUGAUCAAAGUUCUGAUGAAAUAUAGCUUAAAUUUAUAGACAGCGGCAAGAACAAUCUCCAGUCUAACUUAUCUCUAAUAUAUUAUAAAAAUUGAAGAUGUUUUUGCCAGUAUUUUGGUACGUCAUCCGUGUAUGAGUCGGUUUUUAAGUUCGUUUGCUUUUGGAAUCUAUCUAUUUCUAUUCUACUAUUAUAAAAAUUGAAGAUGUUUCCGCGGUCUGUCAUCCGUGUUUGAGUCGGUUAUAAAAAUUAAAGAUGUUUCCGCGGUUCGUCAUCCGUAUUUGAGUCGGUUUUGAUUUUAUGUUUUGGUUUUAAUCUAUAUCUCUUCUCUAUCUCUACUAUUAUAAAAAUUGAAGAUGUUUUGCCGAUAUUUUGGUAUGUCAUCCGUGUAUGAGUCGGUUUUUAAGUUCGUUUGCUUUUGAAAAUAUAUAUCCGUAAUUGAGUCGGUUUUUAAGAUCGUUCACUUUUGGUAAUACAGAAGAAAUCAUAUAAGAAAUCUGUUUUAAAAAAACUUGCAUGCUAACUUGAGACGAUCGGACUUCUAACUGCAGCUCAUGAUUUUCUAAAAAUAUAUAUAUCCAAGCAAACUCGCACAGUGAAUUUCAUCUUAACUAAACCAUAUAACAAUAAUAAGAUUAAAGUAGAUUUCCCCGUUGCAACGCACGAGCAUUUUUUAUAGUAACUUAAAUUUGUGACAUGGUAUGAAGGACGAUUAUUAAAAAAUUCACAGCUGAUGAAAACAGCACAGCCUUCUUAUAAUCUCCAGUCUACUAAUUUUGCACCUCGGAUCUCACAAGUAUUUUUGUAUUUUACCACUGUCCAGCAAUGGACCGUGGAUAGAAGUAAAUUGUGUUGCAGGCCAAAAACAACUGAUACGUUGGAGGGAAAACUGGUUUUUAAGGUUGAACAGAACUGUGUCCCGAUUGUUUUUCUAGCUUGACGGUGAUUGCCAAGGAAACAGCCCCCGCUUCGCCUCCUGCGUGGGCGACUCGAGCGGCGGAAAUCUAGCCGCCACCGCCCCCCUCCAACUCUCAUCUCUGCCUCGCCGCCGCCUGAGCGAGUGGCCGGCAAAGCUGGCGGGGCUCGCGGCGGCGGUCACCCCCGGUUCCGGCGCGGAGGACCAAAAGAUGGAGCCGGCCACAUCAAUGCCGGCAUUGAGGCGGGUGCACGGAAGAGGUGGAGGCGGGGAAGGCGCCGCCGGAUCUGGGCCAGAGGCCGGUGGCAUGGCGCUGGCGACGACGUCCAGCUCCGGGGCCGCCGAGCUCGGAUCCGGCCGGAUAUAGUGCUCUCACCACCGGCGGCGUCGUCGAUCUUGGAGGGGCCAGGAGGCGUGAGGUGGUGGCGGCCCUGUGAUGGGGGCGGCCGGAUCUGGCGCCCCUUGGCCAGAUCCGUUGCCCUACCGGCCGGAAGGACGACACCGAGCUGUCAAGGCGAGGUGGGGGCCGGUGCGCCCUUGCCAGUGCGGGGAUGGCUGCGGGAGGCCAGUGACAGAGGAGGGGGCUGGGCGCGUGCAACGGAGGGGGGGUGCGUGCCCUCGUCGGCGCGGAGACAGUGGCGGCCGCCUGCUGCGCUCACCGGCGGUUGCGGGAGAGAAUCUUGGCGGCGGCGCAGCGGAGUGUGGGCGCUCGUGGUGAUGAUGGCAGCGGCUGGCCGAGCUUUGACAGCCGGAUCCAUGGUCGCCUUGGCCGGAUCUAGUCGGGUCGGCGGCGUUGCGGGCGCUUGUGGCGACGGGUCACGCUUGGUCAACCCGUGCAGCAGAGGAUGGCAACGGCAUGGCAGCGGGCUAGGCUUGGUGGCUAGAGGGACGAUGUGGUGGUCCGGCAAUGUACGAAGUGCGGGUGGGUUGUGUGGUUUUGGAUGACGCUGGCGAAAGCCUUGGCUGGCCUUUGAUUGGCUUGACAACAGCGGCGCCAUUAGGCGUCGUUUCCCUCCUUGGAGGCGUUGUUAUGGCGCCUUCUCUCACUACCAAAACCUUCCCGUGCAACGAUGGUCGUUCGUGGGCCCCCGGCGAGGCCUUCACCUCCUGGGUUCCAUUCUUGGAUGUGGUGAGCGUCCAACUUUCUUCGUUUUCUUCUAGGUGAAGUCGGAGCUGUUUUGUUGUGGUGCAAUGAAGUUUGGCAACGAUAACACGUUGUAGUCUUCGAGGGGUGUUGGUGCUAGCUGUGUUCAAGAAGUGGUGCUCUGGCGGCUUGGGCUGAUGUUCAAAGUGGACAAUCGGUGACUUGCUCGUUUUUGCGAUGCUUUUGGCAACGAUGAUGUGAUAGCCGUGGAGUCGGAGCUGCCGUGUCACUAGGCGACAAGCUCGGCAAUGAUAGCACUUGCCUCGUGAAAGUCGAAGUCUUUGUGUCGCUUACAACAAGCUCUUUAUCGAUGGUUGUUUUGGGCUCCACCAUUGUUCUUUUUUCACGCUUUUGGUAGCUUAGGUUAGUUAGAGUAGUGUGGUUUUCGCUCAGUUUCCCCUAAUUAACUGUGCAUUGUAAGGUUUGGUCUCGUUUUUUUUUAAAUGGGACACCUUCUUAAUAUAAAACGUAGGCAACAGCCUGACCAUUUGAAAAAAAAAAAAGGUUGAACAGAGCUAUAGAGACAACAUUGUUUUCAGAAACAGGGCCAGGACAGUAGCAAGAGUCUGUUUACCUACUGAAUUCUCCACUUAUUAAUACAUCCAGACUAUAUUGUCUGUUACUAAAUUUCCUUACAGUUUUAGUUUGGAGAAUAUAUCCUAAGCAACCUGUCCUCUAGUGAUGUAGUAAACAGUGAGGUUCACUAGAUGCAGCUUGUCUGCUAUGCAGUCAUAACUUUCUCCCAGUCCCUCUUCAGUAAUUCAGUCUGUGCACCAUGAUCUCUUGGGUGUCCACUUGGACUUUUGCAGCCAUAGCCACUCUCAAAAUGCUAAUGUCUUUAGGUUAUUGAUGAAACAGCUCCAGUGUAUUUUGUGUCAGUUUGUUAAGAGUGAACAGUCCUCUCACAUGGCAUGGAUCCCAUAUCAAAACAUGCGCGCCAGCAAUUAGUACUACAGGACAUGGUUUGUGCUCUUGUGAAGGUUUAUCACUCCAAUGAGAGGCCAUGGUUUGGACAGCAAGAAUCAAGAGGUUUUUGGAUCAAAGUUCUGCUAAGGCUGUGUUCGGACGUCCAUUUUCCCAACUUAUCUCCCUCGUUUUCCGCGCGCACGCUUUUUAAACUGUUAAACGGUGUGUUUUUUGUAAAAAGUUUCUAUACAAAAGUUGCUUAAAAAAAUUAAAUUAAUCCAUUUUUGAAAAAAAAUAGCUAAUACUUAAUUAAUCACGCGCUAAUGGAUCGCUCCGUUUUCCGUGCUACUGUUCCAAGUCGCACUCUACAUUACUCUACUGCUCUUUACGUAACAUUAUUAUAAACUACCGUUCUUCAGGGAUGAAUUGUUUCCAGAACUACUCCCUCCGUUUCAAAAUGUUUGACACCGUUGACUUUUCAGUACGUGCUUAACCAUUCGUCUUAUUCAAAAAAUUUAAAUAAUUAUUUAUUCUUUUCGUAUCAUUUGAUUCAUUGUUAAAUAUACUUUCAUGUACAUAUUAGUUUUACAUAUUUCACAAACUUUUUUUAAUAAGACGAACGGUCAAACAUGUGCUAAAAAGUCAACGGUGUUAAACAUUUUGAAACGGAGGGAGUAUAAGACAAGCAUCUUCUCAAUUUGACAGUCUCUUACAAAGAAAUGUGGUGUACAAGCUAGGUUCGUUAUAUUUUUUUUAGCUAAUUCUAGCAAAACCUGAAGAUGCUUUAAGAAUCAAUACUAACAUUGGAUUAGUAAAUGUUGCUAAUUUUUUCCCUAAACAACAGCAUAGUGCAGGACAGAUAUAUAACCUGUCACAAGGAGUUCCAUUCUUCCAUAUUCAUAUCCUAACAGAACUUGAGCUACCCCAAUGAUAUCAAGUAAUAUCUGGUGGCUGGUGUGCACGUUUACUUUUGUAUGUACAGUUGUCUGUGAACUAUGUACAGCAAGCACGCUAACAUAAAAAUUCCAAAAGUCAUAAAAGAAACCAAACAGUGAUAAUUGGUCCAUUUGCUAAUUUAUACACUAGGUUCAUAGCUAGGACAGGAAUCAUACCCUUCAUAUUUGCUACUUUGAAAACGAUGGCAACAUUUUCAUCACUCUUCUCGCCAAGCAUGAGAACAAUCAUACGAAGACAAAUAGGAUCCAAAACUGUUAGGAUCAAAAAGGCCUGAGGCUGCAAAUCAUCACCAAAAUCCAGUCACCACAAAAAGGCCACCUGGCAACUUGCAAAAGAAUAUUCUAAUGACCUUUGUCAAGAAGGAUAUCUCAAGACUUGGAAUAACGCACAAAGUAAAUUAGUAUCACAUGGCAAAAAGAAAGUGGCAUUAUACUAUCACAUUUCACUGUCCUGUAGUACUACAGGUCUACAGCAGACAUAAGUCUAUAUCACAUUUCCCUUUUCUUCGAAAUAAAGUACGGAUGAAAAGCAGGAAUCAGAAAUUAAUCAGAUUACGAGUGUAAUUUUUUAAGAGCAUAGUGGUCGUGAGGGGAAACAUCCACCCACCGAAGUGUCUUUCGGCACAAAAACGGAUAUUUGUUCUAUCAGGUUUAUCUUAGAUAUCCCACUACCACAAGAGUAAAUUUGCUGGGAAAUCAUCUCAAUGAAAAAAAAAAACAUCUACUUCCCCUCACAAUGCAAGUCAUUCUAAUAUUUCCCACGUUUAUAUUGAUGUCAAUGAAUUUAGAUAUAUAUAUCUAUUUAGAUUCAUUAAUAUCAAUAUGAAUAUGGGAAAUGCUAAAAUGACUUAUUGUGAAACGAAACGGGAGAAGUACAAUUAAAGCGAAAGACUAUCUCCGUAGUAAACUAGUAAAAUGCAAUUAAAUUUCAGGCUUACUAGGCGGAGCCAAAGUAGAAGCGGAUUGGCGCAAACGAACGGGAAAGAGCCUCGCAAAUUCGCCAAACACGCCAUCGCGUUAACAUCUCCAAAUUGCCCACAAACGAACGGGAAAGAGGAGGAAUCACAAACGUAGCUCAGAUUCACACCUCGACAAAAGGACAAAAUCUUGCAGGCACAUCGACAAAAGUACGAGCAUUUCCUCCAGGACGGGGGAACCCAAAAUUUUCAGCCUCCCGCAGCCUCAACAGAGGGAGGAUCAGCAGGAGAUUUUAGGGUUACGGAUAGGGAAGGGGAGAAGGAGCGGCAGAUGUUGCGGCCGAAACAGCGGAGUCCGACGAAGCGAGCCGUGCGUAAGCCGAAAGAAUAGAAUAGUUCUAUAAAUACUUUGGGCCAGCUAGAUAAGGAAGCUAUUGGGUUUACAUUGUGAUGGGCCUGAUCAUCAAAAUAGAGUAGUACUGACAUGGGCUUUUCACAGCAGCAUCCACUGCUAAAAUAAACAUUAAAAAGACUAGGUUAAAAUACGCAAAUAUGAUUUAUUCAAUAUCAAUCUUAACAGGUUACAAAAGAUGACAGGACCAUUGUUUAAUUACUAAACAGCUAAAUAUUGUAGAAUUAACGGACUGAUACAAAACAGUGCGAAUGUAGCAGUCUGCAUUCAAUGUUCACGUUCUUCAGCCGCAAUUUUCAAUCCACAAUCCAGUCUGCAUUUAGAUCCUGAAAUUGAGAAAAAGUUUGACAGUUGGUAGUUUGAAAAAAAAUUAGAGUUUAUGUGAUUGUGAUGUGAUGAAAAGUUGGGAAUUUGGAGGAAGAUUGAUGUGAACUAAACAGGGCCCCAAUCCACGUUUAGUUCACACACAACUUCCCCCAAUCUCCCAACUUUCCAUCGCAUCUCCAUCACAUCAUGGUAGGUUCAUGGUAGGUUGUUGUAUCCACAGAUGCAGCACUACAGCAAGAUCAGUUCACGCUCAAGUUUAACACAAAUAGAAAGACGGGCUGUUAAGAUAGACAAAAUCAGAGAACAUAAAUUAUAUCAAAUAUGGCAAAAUAAAUAAAUCUUUAGUAACCGUUUUUGAGAUGGGUGCGUAAAGGCCGUCAGUUAGGAGCGAAAGACUAUUUAUUCAAAGUAAUCAUAACCACUAGGGUUUGAUCAUCUGAACUAUGCAUUUUUGCUCAUCACUCGACCUUGCAACCAAUUUACAUCCACAUCGGCAUCAAACCUCUUAAAAAAUCAUAGUUUUUAAAACCAUAUCAAAAAUCAAAAUAAGAUUUUUAGUCAGAUCCAAACAAUGAUAAGAGACCUCAGAAGGAAGGCAGUAGUAGGGUAUGUCCUCACAAGAUUUCAGAGAGAAAGGUUUCCACAUUGAUCAUCAUAGGCCUCAAAAGUAAACGAAAAGGAUAAAGAUGACGAAAAAUACAACACAAUGACAUGCAUCAAUAAAUCUGACCUCAUAGAGAAGAUUAGGCUUUUCCACAUGAAAAUUCAGACAUAUGCUUGUCUAUAUUUUAAUCUAAU
This 33591-nucleotide long non-coding RNA is filed under the name Oryza sativa (Asian cultivated rice). RNAcentral's name for it is "long non-coding RNA (OSAT_LNC001034)". Lineage: Eukaryota; Viridiplantae; Streptophyta; Magnoliopsida; Poales; Poaceae. The record is from RNAcentral.